ACUAAAGAGAAGUAGAGACACGUUGUUUAGGAUAUAGACAACAAAGACCGUGACGCGUGAGGGUGGCGACUGGUCACAGUCCCAUGAGAAGAAAGUUGAAAGCAGAAGGCAGAGUCAGAUAAGAAAGGGUUCGUUCGGUCAACGGAAAACACACGGACACCGAAAUUCGAGAGAGAGAGAGAGAGAGAGAGAGAGAGAGAAGAGAGGUUGAUUGAUCGAUGGCGGCUGCGACGACGUCGUAUCUGUCGCCGACGCAGAAGUACGCUGCAGGAGCCCUCUUCGGGCUUGCCCUUCACCAGGCCCACCUUCACCAGACCCACCCCCUUGGUUUGCAUUUCUAUUCCGACGACGAUCAACCCUCCACCAGCGACUCUGCCGCAGUUUCCGAGGAUCCCCACCUUUGGGUCCACCACUCCUCCGGUCUCCUCCACCCCGUUUUCAAGUAUCUAGAUAUUGAUUCUGGGGCUUGGUCUGGACUUGAGGAAACUGCUGGCUCUUCUUCUGCUUCGCGUCAUGUGGGACCCUUCUUGAGAUUAUUAUCAGCAGAUUUUGAUGAUGAUUCUCAAAGGUCAGAUCAAGAACUUGCUUUGUCAGAAGCUGUUGAUGCAAUGGCAUGUACCCUGGAAAAAAUUCAAGAGUCUUCAGCGUCUAAAAGAGAGAAGAUCCGCGAAUACGAGCACCAAUGUCGUGAAAAGUUUUCAAAUUCAGAAGCUCCAUCAGAGUCUGAGAAGGAAGAUAUGCAUUUCGAAACUCCGCACAUGCCUGAAACACCUUAUUUUGAUUGUAAAAACCCACCUCAGGGAUCUACUAUUAGCAAAAUUGAUGAAAGUCCAAUUGAAGAGGUAACAAUGCUCAGCUAUCAAAGGAAAAUAACAGUUCUCUAUGAACUGCUCGCUGCUUGCUUGUCAGAUUUAGGUGAAGGAAACAAGAAAUAUACUCGUAGAAGAAGGGGUUAUGAUGCUCGACAACGUGUGGCUCUUCGCUUGCUCACAACUUGGCUUGAUAUCCAGUGGAAAAAAAUGGAAGCCAUUGAGACUAUAGUUGCCAGUUCUGCAAUGGCUUUAAUUAAAGAGCAAGAAUCAAAUAAAGAGGAAUCUCAAUCAAAGGAAAGCAAAUGGGCUAAAUGGAAGCGAGGUGGUAUUAUAGGUGCAGCUGCAAUAACAGGGGGAGCCUUAAUGGCUAUUACCGGUGGAUUAGCUGCCCCAGCAAUUGCUGCAGGACUUGGUGCUAUGGCUCCAACUUUGGGUACUUUGAUCCCUAUAAUUGGAGCUGGUGGAUUUGCUGCAGCUGCUAGUGCUGCUGGAACUGUUGCUGGUUCUGUUGCUGUUGCUGCAUCAUUUGGAGCUGCUGGAGCUGGACUUACUGGAACCAAAAUGGCUAGGAGAGUUGGGAGUGUGGAUGGGUUUGAAUUUAAAGCUAUAGGAGAAACCCAUAACCAAGGUAGGCUAGGGGUUGAGAUCCUGAUCUCUGGAUUUGUUUUUGAGGAGGAGGAUUUUAUAAGGCCAUGGGAUGGAUUAAAUGACAACCUGGAGAGGUAUGCACUGCAGUGGGAGUCCAAGAAUCUAAUUGCCGUGAGCACUGCGAUUCAGGAUUGGCUUACUUCAAGAAUUGCGAUGGAGCUGAUGAAGCAAGGUGCAAUGAUGACUGUUAUGAGUGCACUUUUAACUGCAUUGGCUUGGCCAGCUACCUUACUUGCAGCAACUGAUUUCAUAGACAGCACGUGGACAAUCGCUAUUGACAGAUCAGACAAGGCUGGAAAGUUGCUUGCUGAAGUGUUGUUGGGAGGAUUGCAGGGAAAUAGGUUACUCACUUGGGGCCAGAGUUAUUUACAAAUGUCUAGAGUGCUUGGCUGAAACAGAACACAGUGCUGAACUAGUAGAAAGAGUUGUUCUUCUUGGAGCACCCAUUCCAAUCAAGGAUGAGAACUGGGAAGCAGCUAGAGAGAUGGUAUCAGGAAGAUUUGUAAAUGCUUAUUCAAGGAAUGACUGGAUGCUUGGAGUUGCUUUCCGUGCCAGUCUGCUUUCUCAAGGAUUAGCUGGAAUCCAACCAGUUGAUAUUCCUGGUAUCCAAAAUGUUGAUGUGACAGAUCUUAUUGACGGUCAUUCUUCUUAUCUUUGGGCCACACAAAAGAUCUUGGACCAACUUGAAUUAGAUUCCUACUAUCCUGUAUAUAAUAGCAUUCUGUGUCAUUUCUGAUCACCCCUCCACCCUCUCUUUUAUUCCUUGUUUGACAGUGGAGCAAGUACAUAAUAUGGGGAAUUGGAAACUACUUAAUACGUAUAAAGAAGGAUACAAAAGAAAUGAGAAGAUAUUUUAAUGCAAUCUAGUCUUUAAAAAUUAAAA
Molecule: RNA transcript, 2343 nt
Organism: Arachis ipaensis
Lineage: Eukaryota; Viridiplantae; Streptophyta; Magnoliopsida; Fabales; Fabaceae
Gene name: transmembrane and coiled-coil domain-containing protein STS1
Source: RefSeq, a predicted model, not a curated record